RNAcentral lists this unclassified non-coding RNA (240 nucleotides) under soil metagenome. RNAcentral's name for it is "partial contains 5.8S ribosomal RNA, internal transcribed spacer 2, and large subunit ribosomal RNA". The record is from RNAcentral.
AACCUAGCACACCUGCGGUGUGUACCUGCGGAGGGAUCAUUACACAAAUAACAUAUGAAGGCUGUACGCGGCUGUGCCCUUUGGGUGCAGCGUCUGCUGAGGCUGGAUUAUUUAUUUUUCACCCUUGUCUUUUGCGCACUUGUUGUUUCCUGGGCGGGUUCGCCCGCCACCAGGACCACAUGAUAAACCUUUUUUAUGCAGUUGCAAUCAGCGUCAGUACAACAAAAUGUAAAUCAUUUA